RNAcentral lists this ribosomal RNA (497 nucleotides) under uncultured bacterium. RNAcentral's name for it is "partial 16S ribosomal RNA". It matches the Rfam family "Bacterial small subunit ribosomal RNA", at positions 28 to 507 of the family's 1533-position model. The record is from RNAcentral.
GAUGAACGCUGGCGGCGUGCCUAAUACAUGCAAGUCGAGCGAACGGACGAGAAGCUUGCUUCUCUGAUGUUAGCGGCGGACGGGUGAGUAACACGUGGAUAACCUACCUAUAAGACUGGGAUAACUUCGGGAAACCGGAGCUAAUACCGGAUAAUAUUUUGAACCGCAUGGUUCAAAAGUGAAAGACGGUCUUGCUGUCACUUAUAGAUGGAUCCGCGCUGCAUUAGCUAGUUGGUAAGGUAACGGCUUACCAAGGCAACGAUGCAUAGCCGACCUGAGAGGGUGAUCGGCCACACUGGAACUGAGACACGGUCCAGACUCCUACGGGAGGCAGCAGUAGGGAAUCUUCCGCAAUGGGCGAAAGCCUGACGGAGCAACGCCGCGUGAGUGAUGAAGGUCUUCGGAUCGUAAAACUCUGUUAUUAGGGAAGAACAUAUGUGUAAGUAACUGUGCACAGCUUGACGGUACCUAAUCAGAAAGCCACGGCUAACUACGUG